UGGGGAAUAUUGCACAAUGGGCGCAAGCCUGAUGCAGCCAUGCCGCGUGUGUGAAGAAGGCCUUCGGGUUGUAAAGCACUUUCAGCGAGGAGGAAGGGUAGUGUGUUAAUAGCACAUUGCAUUGACGUUACUCGCAGAAGAAGCACCGGCUAACUCCGUGCCAGCAGCCGCGGUAAUACGGAGGGUGCAAGCGUUAAUCGGAAUUACUGGGCGUAAAGCGCACGCAGGCGGUUUGUUAAGUCAGAUGUGAAAUCCCCGCGCUUAACGUGGGAACUGCAUUUGAAACUGGCAAGCUAGAGUCUUGUAGAGGGGGGUAGAAUUCCAGGUGUAGCGGUGAAAUACGUAGAGAUCUGGAGGAAUACCGGUGGCGAAGGCGGCCCCCUGGACAAAGACUGACGCUCAGGUGCGAAAGCGUGGGGAGCAAACA
RNAcentral lists this ribosomal RNA (427 nucleotides) under uncultured bacterium. RNAcentral's name for it is "partial 16S ribosomal RNA". It matches the Rfam family "Bacterial small subunit ribosomal RNA", at positions 355 to 774 of the family's 1533-position model. The record is from RNAcentral.